AUUGAACGCUGGCGGCAUGCCUUACACAUGCAAGUCGAACGGUAACGGGCCUUCGGGUGCCGACGAGUGGCGAACGGGUGAGUAAUACAUCGGAACGUGCCCGAUCGUGGGGGAUAACGAGGCGAAAGCUUUGCUAAUACUGCAUACGAUCUACGGAUGAAAGCAGGGGACCGCAAGGCCUUGCGCGGACGGAGCGGCCGAUGGCAGAUUAGGUAGUUGGUGGGAUAAAAGCUUACCAAGCCGACGAUCUGUAGCUGGUCUGAGAGGAUGAUCAGCCACACUGGGACUGAGACACGGCCCAGACUCCUACGGGAGGCAGCAGUGGGGAAUUUUGGACAAUGGGCGCAAGCCUGAUCCAGCCAUGCCGCGUGCAGGAUGAAGGCCUUCGGGUUGUAAACUGCUUUUGUACGGAACGAAAAGCCUUCUUUUAAUACAGGAGGGUCAUGACGGUACCGUAAGAAUAAGCACCGGCUAACUACGUG
This 482-nucleotide ribosomal RNA is filed under the name uncultured bacterium. RNAcentral describes it as "partial 16S ribosomal RNA". It matches the Rfam family "Bacterial small subunit ribosomal RNA", at positions 30 to 507 of the family's 1533-position model. The record is from RNAcentral.